RNAcentral lists this ribosomal RNA (350 nucleotides) under Foraminifera environmental sample. RNAcentral describes it as "partial small subunit ribosomal RNA". The record is from RNAcentral. Lineage: Eukaryota; Foraminifera.
CGGUCACGUUCGUUGCUUUCAGAAUCUAGAUGCAUGAGUUAAACAAAACACAAAGACACGCGCUGUACAAAAAAGUGACAGGGGUCAAUGAGAGCUAACAAACAUGCGUUAAAUUUAGAUUCUUAGUGAAACGCAAUUAAGCAGACAGAUCACUCCACGAACUAAGAACGGCCAUGCACCACCUAUCACAUAAUCAUGAAAGGACUAGCAUAUUUAACAUGUUGUUCUCUCAAUACACACGUCACAGAGACGGUGAUUAAAAAAAAACAACAAUAAUACCUGUCAAUCCUCAGUGUGUCCGGACCCGGUAAGAUUUCCCGCGUUGGGUCAAAUUAAGCCACAUGCUCCAC